Molecule: ribosomal RNA, 235 nt
Filed under: Myroides odoratimimus
Lineage: Bacteria; Pseudomonadati; Bacteroidota; Flavobacteriia; Flavobacteriales; Flavobacteriaceae
Description: partial 23S ribosomal RNA
Rfam family: Bacterial large subunit ribosomal RNA
Source: RNAcentral
CAUAAGCAAAAUAAGGGCGUAUGGGGAAUGCCUAGGCUCUCAGAGGCGAAGAAGGACGUGAUAAGCUGCGAAAAGCUACGGGGAUUGGCACACACGAGUUGAUCCGUAGAUAUCCGAAUGGGGCAACCCAGUAUGUUGAAGACAUACUAUCCUGUAUAGGAGGCGAACCCGCUGAACUGAAACAUCUAAGUAGGCGGAGGAGAAGAAAACAAAAGUGAUUCCGUAAGUAGUGGCG